UACGAAGGUUGCUAGCGUUGUUCGGAAUUACUGGGCGUAAAGCGCACGUAGGCGGAUUAGUAAGUCAGGGGUGAAAUCCCGGUGCUCAACCUCGGAACUGACUUUGAUACUGCUGAUCUCGAGUCCGGAAGAGUUGAGUGGAAUUCCUAGUGUAGAGGUGAAAUUCGUAGAUAUUAGGAAGAACACCAGUGGCGAAGGCGGCUCACUGGUCCGGUACUGACGCUGUGGUGCCAAAGCGUGGGGAGCAAUCAGG
RNAcentral lists this ribosomal RNA (253 nucleotides) under uncultured bacterium. RNAcentral's name for it is "partial 16S ribosomal RNA". It matches the Rfam family "Bacterial small subunit ribosomal RNA", at positions 524 to 776 of the family's 1533-position model. The record is from RNAcentral.